Molecule: ribosomal RNA, 460 nt
Filed under: uncultured bacterium
Lineage: Bacteria
Description: partial 16S ribosomal RNA
Rfam family: Bacterial small subunit ribosomal RNA
Source: RNAcentral
CCUACGGGUGGCAGCAGUGAGGAAUAUUGGUCAAUGGGCGCGAGCCUGAACCAGCCAAGUAGCGUGAAGGAUGACUGCCCUAUGGGUUGUAAACUUCUUUUAUAAGGGAGUAAAGUGAGGCACGUGUGCCUGUUUGUAUGUAACUUAUGAAUAAGGAUCGGCUAACUCCGUGCCAGCAGGCGCGGUAAUACGGAGGAUCCGAGCGUUAUCCGGAUUUAUUGGGUUUAAAGGGAGCGUAGAUGGGUUGUUAAGUCAGUUGUGAAAGUUUGCGGCUCAACCGUAAAAUUGCCAUUGAUACUGGCAGUCUUGAGUACAGUUGAGGUAGGCGGAAUGCGUGGUGUAGCGGUGAAAUGCUUAGAUAUCACGAAGAACUCCGAUUGCGAAGGCAGCUUACUAACCUGCCACUGACGUUGAGGCUCGAAAGCGUGGGUAUCAAACAGGAUUAGAUACCCUUGUAGUC